Pipra filicauda (Wire-tailed manakin) is the source of this 3451-nucleotide long non-coding RNA. RefSeq lists it as uncharacterized. The record is from RefSeq and is a predicted model, not a curated record. The transcript is spliced from 5 exons. NCBI's taxonomy places the organism in Eukaryota, Metazoa, Chordata, Aves, Passeriformes, Pipridae.
GGGCUGGCCUGCGACGGAAAGGAAUCUUUCUUAGACAACAUCCUUCAGCCGAGGGGUUGCUGAUGUAUCCCCCGGGGAAGAGGCUCGGAUGGAGGAAAAGCGCACCCAUCUCCCCCAGCUCAGUAUCUCGCCCGGCGCACCUGGCGCAGGCCGGCUCGGCGAACGGGGCAGAGCUCGGCCUUGCUGCUGGGGCCCGUCCGGCACCACCGCCUCCUUAAAUAGUCCUGCAAGGGCAAACACAGUGGUCAAACAUGGGUGAGAAAUGUUCGCCGCCCCCGGUUGGAAGACAACAAACAGCUCUUCGUCUUUCUUCUUAGAGGAUUGGAAAGUAAUUUGCAUCUGUGACAGUGUGCCCCAUGGUUCCAGACAACAUAAAUAUUGUUUAGGGCUUGUUUAUACAUGUAGUUGUUCAGGAGGAGCUGUUCCUGACUAAUUUCAUGACUAAUUUCCAGAAUAAGGCUAAGUGUUCCGGUUUAGUAUAACACUGUGAGUUUUAAUUAAAGACGAAAAUAGGGCACACCUAUUCUUGAAGAGGGAUGUUUACAGAAUUGUUGUUGAAUAACUUCUCUGUACAUGAGCCAAGAAUCAACAGACACCUAAACCGGCUUCCCAUUUCCCUCCAGGCUGAUGUACAAGUUGCUUGCUUUGCAGAUACUAUUGCUUUAGAAAGCCACAAAGAAAAUAAGAUGGCAGUUAUGACACAUAUUCUCUGCUUUGAUUUGCCUGACAUUUUUAGGGGACAUUUUGUUGGCUGUCUGUGGUAUUUUCACUGAACAUGGGAAGACAUUGUAUGUGACUGAUACUCAGUACAACAGCAUGAGUUCUCAGUGUGUUCCAACAACCAUGGUGAGCUCUGUGUGCUGUGACCAUCCUCUUAUCAUCCCAGGAGCACAAACUAGCUGGGUAAUAAAGUUGCCAUCUGAGAUUCCUAUCUCAGUGGUAACACAAGAAUAUGAAACAGAGCUUGUGCUCAAGCACGGGUAUUUUAUGUAUGCCCAGAAAAACCCUGAAGCCCAUGACAAGUAUGCAGAAACCUCCCCAUAUGUUAGGCAUACUUCAUGAAGCACCAAGUGCACAGAACAAUGCGGAGAGAAGAAAAACCUCCAUCUUCAUCCCCGCUGCUGGGAAGCGCUGCUUAGCGGCACUCGAAGCUUGGACACAGAAGGAGAAGCAAUGUUAGGAAUGCAGUAUGUCCAGUAUUGCCUACACCUUGUGGGCCACAGCUUCAUGAGAUAUGGACAACCCGUUUGGAUCCGUUCUUCUGUGACUGCAGGCUGUUUGCGUGAGUCAUCUGGAUUCGUCUUGAUAGGCUGCAGUAAGAGAGGCUGGGUCUCUCCAGCUUACACUUGCUCCCCCAUUAGUCAGAGAACAAGACUUCAGCUUUGAUUUUUUAAAAAGAAAGUGUCAUCAUUGUUGCUUCUUAUAUAAGGACAUCUGGUGUCAUAACUCCAGCGUGUCUGUAUUAAUUCUGAAAGCUAUAUAGGACUUUUUUUUUUUUUAACAGUUUUCCUUUGCUUCUAGUUUUCAAUUAUAAUAUGCCAUCUGGGCUGGGUAAAGUUCUUUCACUUUAUCUUGUGGAGGGUCUUGAUUUUUCAUCCGCUGAAUGCAUUUAGUCUUCCUUUCCAAGGUAGAACCCCCGUUUCAGGUCAUUUCUUCUUUAGGAGUUUUCAGAUAAGCUUUCAUAAGACAAAGGUCAGUACCACUGCUAAAUACCUUGUAUCAUGCCACUUCUUCAAGGUAUGACACAGCCAAGAUUCAGAUCACAGUUAUAAGACCUCAUGACUACUCUGUCAUGGUGUGGUGCAGUCUUUACCCCAUGACUUGUUUCAGGAGCAAAAUACUUAUCCUUGUUAUGAGGAGGGGAAAGGAAGAGAGGAAGAAAUCACCAAAGACUGUCUUUGUUCUCUGUUAAUGGUAACACAAUAGAAAUAUUCUGUGUUUUAGAACUCUGUUAGUAACAGUAGUAUAACCAUUCCUUAUGACUUAAAUCUGUCUUUUAAAUCCAUCUACACAAGUGGUCCUUCGUCUUUUCUCACACUCCUGUAUCAUAGAGGGAUUUCUUUUUCAUGGGAUCUGAGUCCCAUUAGAUUCCUUUUUCUCAUUUAAUAGUGGGAGGAGACCAUGGAGAUCAUAUCUUUGAAUGAAAAGAACCCAGUCAGUUGAUUCUGCGAAAAUUCUAACACACUUGACCUCUUGCAUCACUAAUUCCUAGUAGCAUCGUUAGUCAUUUCAUCCUCUGGUAGAAUAGAAGCCCAGCAUGAUACAUUGGAAGCUCUGAUCUCCUGAAGAGCAGUCACUUCUGAUUACCGAUUUUGAAGACAAGCUCUGUGAGAGCUGGGGGAGAAAGAAUUUUUUUCAAGUCUGGAAUAAGUCAGUACCCACCUCUUUGCCUCAGAUGAGCAAUUCUUUUCCAUUUUAUCUGAGACAUGACAAUUCUUUUAAGCAGCUCUGGAAAGUAGCAGCAUCCAGCUGAAGUGGAAGAAGGAAUAAAUGCCCAUACAAUGAGAAGCCAGUAAUUUUAAGCCAGACAUUCAUAAAGACAUACAGACUAAUGGAUUCCAAACUGCCGUAAGUCCCAUGAAAAAUUAGCAAUCAAGUUGUCUUGACUCUAUUUCAGCAGCAAGGAACUUUGGAAUGGAAAAAAAGGACAGAACAACACGAUCUCUGAAGGGGACUUCAGUUUACCAGAUGUCUGCUGGAAAUACAACACUGCAGAGGGGAAUCAGUCUAAGAGGCUUCUGGAGCUUAUGGAGGGCAACUUCCUGACACAGCUGUCUAUCCUGUAAGAAGAUUGCAAAAAUAAAUUCAGAAGGUAAAGGAAGGAACUCACUAUAGUCUUCAUCUUCUGAUUCAAGAUGGGGAAGAAAAUAGAAAAGACAGUAUAAUAUAAGUAAACUUACCUGGAUAAAAACUGAGCCGUUGAUAAAGAUUUGGAACAACCUGGCUAAACUCUAAGGUCUUGAUAUGUCAGCUCUGCGCAACACCAUGAGAAAAUUUAAGAGGAAAAACGGGUUAUGCUCAAACAUUAAUACUACAGGGAAGAAGGAGUCUUCCCCUCUUUGCAGAAAUUCCAAGGGACUUGGAAAGCUUCAGGUAACAUUGGGCCCUUUUGAGCAUCAAGGGCUGUGUCCUCUGAGGUUGAAAGAAAAUGGAAAACUAGUCCUCCUGGAUCACACUCUUUGGCUCAGGCAGUCAGCUUGCACCGACCUGAACUGAGCUGGAAUGAUUGCUUUCAACAGGACUUUUGGGUUUGCCUUCACAAUUCCCACAGCCACUAACGCCAACAGGAUCCCCACUGGAGAUCACUAGGCUUGGUAUCUGUUUCCUACCAGUGAUAUCAUUUGAUUACAUGCAGUAAAACACGCAAGAGAACAAGGCAAAACCUUCUUCUGGAGGCACAGUUGCUGAGGAAACCAUCUUCUCUCUGUAUUCAGUAGUUCAGUAACCAUUU